AUUGAACGCUAGCGGGAUGCUUUACACAUGCAAGUCGAACGGCAGCGCGGACUUUGGUCUGGCGGCGAGUGGCGAACGGGUGAGUAAUGUAUCGGAACGUGCCCAGUAGCGGGGGAUAACUACGCGAAAGCGUAGCUAAUACCGCAUACGCCCUACGGGGGAAAGCAGGGGAUCGUAAGACCUUGCACUAUUGGAGCGGCCGAUAUCGGAUUAGCUAGUUGGUGAGGUAACGGCUCACCAAGGCGACGAUCCGUAGCUGGUUUGAGAGGACGACCAGCCACACUGGGACUGAGACACGGCCCAGACUCCUACGGGAGGCAGCAGUGGGGAAUUUUGGACAAUGGGGGCAACCCUGAUCCAGCCAUCCCGCGUGUGCGAUGAAGGCCUUCGGGUUGUAAAGCACUUUUGGCAGGAAAGAAACGUCGCGGGCUAAUACCCCGUGGAACUGACGGUACCUGCAGAAUAAGCACCGGCUAACUACGUG
This 484-nucleotide ribosomal RNA is filed under the name uncultured bacterium. RNAcentral's name for it is "partial 16S ribosomal RNA". It matches the Rfam family "Bacterial small subunit ribosomal RNA", at positions 30 to 507 of the family's 1533-position model. The record is from RNAcentral.